AUUUUCUAAGAUCCACU
RNAcentral lists this small RNA (17 nucleotides) under Arabidopsis thaliana (thale cress). RNAcentral describes it as "ATSL295800". Lineage: Eukaryota; Viridiplantae; Streptophyta; Magnoliopsida; Brassicales; Brassicaceae. The record is from RNAcentral.